Molecule: ribosomal RNA, 31 nt
Filed under: Paraphaeosphaeria sp. KT4192
Lineage: Eukaryota; Fungi; Ascomycota; Dothideomycetes; Pleosporales; Didymosphaeriaceae
Description: partial 28S ribosomal RNA
Source: RNAcentral
CUUUGACCUCGGAUCAGGUAGGGAUACCCGC